Molecule: long non-coding RNA, 239 nt
Filed under: Salvia miltiorrhiza (redroot sage)
Lineage: Eukaryota; Viridiplantae; Streptophyta; Magnoliopsida; Lamiales; Lamiaceae
Description: long non-coding RNA (SMIL_LNC004045)
Source: RNAcentral
UUGAACAAAAAGAACGCUGUUCAACUAGACCAGGGGGAGUAGCUGAUGAGGACUGGAAUACUCAUCAGCACUGUGCUUAGUAAUCCAAGCCUAUUUUACCUUGUUAUGAUUAUUGUUAUUAUUAUUAUAUAAACUAACCAGCGCAGGUUUAACUAAAAAGACUUGCUAACAGACGAAUAUGAAGAGUCAAUCAGCCUUGACCAAAGUGCAGAGCAUAGCUGCUCAGCCAGAGCAGAGCA